GAACGAACGCUGGCGGCGUGCCUAACACAUGCAAGUCGAGCGCGAAUAGGGGCAACCCUUAGUAGAGCGGCGCACGGGUGCGUAACACGUGGGUAAUCUGCCUGGAAGACCGGGACAACCAUCCGAAAGGAUGGCUAAUACCGGAUAAGACCACGGGAGCUUCGGCUCUUGAGGGAAAAGGUGGCCUCUGUACACAAGCUAUCACUUCCAGAUGAGCCCGCGGCCCAUCAGCUAGUUGGCGGGGUAAUGGCCCACCAAGGCAACGACGGGUAGCUGGUCUGAGAGGACGAUCAGCCACACUGGAACUGAGACACGGUCCAGACUCCUACGGGAGGCAGCAGUGGGGAAUUUUGCACAAUGGGCGCAAGCCUGAUGCAGCAACGCCGCGUGUGUGAUGAAGGUCUUCGGAUUGUAAAGCACUUUCGACCGGGACGAAACCCGGAUGGCUAACAUCCAUCCGGCUGACGGUACCGGGAGAAGAAGCACCGGCUAACUCUGUGCCAGCAGCCGCGGUAA
Molecule: ribosomal RNA, 516 nt
Filed under: uncultured delta proteobacterium
Lineage: Bacteria; Deltaproteobacteria
Description: bacterial SSU rRNA
Rfam family: Bacterial small subunit ribosomal RNA
Source: RNAcentral